UACGGAGGGUGCAAGCGUUGUUCGGAAUCACUGGGCGUAAAGCGCGUGUAGGCGGCGUUCUAAGUCUGAUGUGAAAGCCCGGGGCUCAACCCCGGAAGUGCAUCGGAUACUGGGAGGCUAGAGUACCGGAGAGGAGGGUGGAAUUCCUGGUGUAGCGGUGAAAUGCGUAGAUAUCAGGAGGAACACCGGUGGCGAAGGCGGCCCUCUGGACGGAUACUGACGCUGAGACGCGAAAGCGUGGGGAGCAAAC
This 250-nucleotide ribosomal RNA is filed under the name uncultured bacterium. Its description in RNAcentral is "partial 16S ribosomal RNA". It matches the Rfam family "Bacterial small subunit ribosomal RNA", at positions 524 to 773 of the family's 1533-position model. The record is from RNAcentral.